Molecule: long non-coding RNA, 221 nt
Organism: Sinocyclocheilus grahami
Lineage: Eukaryota; Metazoa; Chordata; Actinopteri; Cypriniformes; Cyprinidae
Exons: 3
Source: RefSeq, a predicted model, not a curated record
UUUGUAGAUCCAGCCUCACUGGCUCCUCUGCAGGAAACUCUCUUCAUCCACUGCAGUACAGCGGUGUGCCAUCCCUCUUCCGGCUCCUGCGAGCAAAGCUGCACCAGGAAGAGAAGAGACACUCAUGCCAAGACCAUCUCUAAUGGGCGGACUGUGGUUUCUAGCGGCGAAGUUACUCUGGUCAUGUAAAUUUGGCUGUUUUAAUAAACCGCAUUAAACUC